RNAcentral lists this transfer RNA (34 nucleotides) under Hetaeria oblongifolia. RNAcentral's name for it is "partial tRNA-Leu". The record is from RNAcentral. Lineage: Eukaryota; Viridiplantae; Streptophyta; Magnoliopsida; Asparagales; Orchidaceae.
AAAAAUCGGGAGGGUUCAAGUCCCUCUAUCCCCA